This 465-nucleotide ribosomal RNA is filed under the name uncultured Klebsiella sp. RNAcentral describes it as "bacterial SSU rRNA". It matches the Rfam family "Bacterial small subunit ribosomal RNA", at positions 338 to 795 of the family's 1533-position model. The record is from RNAcentral. Lineage: Bacteria; Pseudomonadati; Pseudomonadota; Gammaproteobacteria; Enterobacterales; Enterobacteriaceae.
CCUACGGGUGGCAGCAGUGGGGAAUAUUGCACAAUGGGCGCAAGCCUGAUGCAGCCAUGCCGCGUGUGUGAAGAAGGCCUUCGGGUUGUAAAGCACUUUCAGCGGGGAGGAAGGCGGUGAGGUUAAUAACCUCAUCGAUUGACGUUACCCGCAGAAGAAGCACCGGCUAACUCCGUGCCAGCAGCCGCGGUAAUACGGAGGGUGCAAGCGUUAAUCGGAAUUACUGGGCGUAAAGCGCACGCAGGCGGUCUGUCAAGUCGGAUGUGAAAUCCCCGGGCUCAACCUGGGAACUGCAUUCGAAACUGGCAGGCUAGAGUCUUGUAGAGGGGGGUAGAAUUCCAGGUGUAGCGGUGAAAUGCGUAGAGAUCUGGAGGAAUACCGGUGGCGAAGGCGGCCCCCUGAACAAAGACUGACGCUCAGGUGCGAAGGCGUGGGGAGCAAACAGGAUUAGAUACCCGAGUAGUC